RNAcentral lists this ribosomal RNA (194 nucleotides) under uncultured bacterium. RNAcentral describes it as "partial 16S ribosomal RNA". It matches the Rfam family "Bacterial small subunit ribosomal RNA", at positions 326 to 539 of the family's 1533-position model. The record is from RNAcentral.
ACGCUCGACACCUAAGGCAGCAGUGGGGAAUAUUGCACAAUGGGGGAAACCCUGAUGCAGCGACGCCGCGUGAGCGAAGAAGUAUUUCGGUAUGUAAAGCUCUAUCAGCAGGGAAGAAACUGACGGUACCUGACUAAGAAGCACCGGCUAAAUACGUGCAAGCAGCCGCGGUAAUCUGAGCGGGCUGGCAAGGC